RNAcentral lists this non-coding RNA (30 nucleotides) under Homo sapiens (human). The record is from RNAcentral. Lineage: Eukaryota; Metazoa; Chordata; Mammalia; Primates; Hominidae.
UGCAAUUCAGGCAUGUCUUGUGACCUUUGC